RNAcentral lists this transfer RNA (73 nucleotides) under Myxococcota bacterium. RNAcentral's name for it is "tRNA-Thr". It matches the Rfam family "tRNA". From Rfam's summary of the family: Transfer RNA (tRNA) molecules are approximately 80 nucleotides in length. Their secondary structure includes four short double-helical elements and three loops (D, anti-codon, and T loops). Further hydrogen bonds mediate the characteristic L-shaped molecular structure. tRNAs have two regions of fundamental functional importance: the anti-codon, which is responsible for specific mRNA codon recognition, and the 3' end, to which the tRNAs corresponding amino acid is attached (by aminoacyl-tRNA synthetases). tRNAs cope with the degeneracy of the genetic code in two manners: having more than one tRNA (with a specific anti-codon) for a particular amino acid; and 'wobble' base-pairing, i.e. permitting non-standard base-pairing at the 3rd anti-codon position. The record is from RNAcentral. Lineage: Bacteria; Pseudomonadati; Myxococcota.
GCCCACCUAGCUCAGUUGGUAGAGCAGUGCUUUCGUAAAGCACAGGUCAUCGGUUCAAGUCCGAUGGUGGGCU